This 454-nucleotide ribosomal RNA is filed under the name uncultured bacterium. RNAcentral's name for it is "partial 16S ribosomal RNA". It matches the Rfam family "Bacterial small subunit ribosomal RNA", at positions 28 to 507 of the family's 1533-position model. The record is from RNAcentral.
GAUGAACGCUGACAGAAUGCUUAACACAUGCAAGUCAACUUGAACUUCGGUUUGGGUGGCGGACGGGUGAGUAACGCGUAAAGAACUUGCCUCACAGCUAGGGACAACAUUUGGAAACGAAUGCUAAUACCUGAUAUUAUGAUUAUAUGGCAUCGUAUAAUUAUGAAAGCUAUAUGCGCUGUGAGAGAGCUUUGCGUCCCAUUAGCUAGUUGGCGAGGUAACGGCUCACCAAGGCGAUGAUGGGUAGCCGGCCUGAGAGGGUGAUCGGCCACAAGGGGACUGGGACACGGCCCUUACUCAUUCGGGGAGCAGCAGUGGGAAAUAUUGGACAAUGGACCAAGAGUCUGAUCCAGCACUUCUGUGUGCACGAUGAAUUUUUUCGGAAUGUAAAGUGCUUUCAGUUGCGAAGAAAAAAAUGACGGUACCAACAGAAGAAGCGCCGGCUAACUACGUG